CCCCUGAUGGUCUAGUUGGUUAUGGCGUCUGACUGUAAUGGUUUCUAUUGUGAUCAGAAAAUCCCUGGUUCGAUUCCGGGUCGGGGGA
Aspergillus sclerotiicarbonarius CBS 121057 is the source of this 88-nucleotide non-coding RNA. The record is from the annotation of a GenBank genome assembly. Lineage: Eukaryota; Fungi; Ascomycota; Eurotiomycetes; Eurotiales; Aspergillaceae.